This 254-nucleotide ribosomal RNA is filed under the name uncultured bacterium. RNAcentral's name for it is "partial 16S ribosomal RNA". It matches the Rfam family "Archaeal small subunit ribosomal RNA", at positions 474 to 727 of the family's 1478-position model. The record is from RNAcentral.
UACCAGCACCCCGAGUGGUCGGGACGUUUAUUGGGCCUAAAGCAUCCGUAGCCGGUUCUACAAGUCUUCCGUUAAAUCCAGCUGCUUAACAGAUGGGCUGCGGAAGAUACUAUGGAGCUAGGAGGCGGGGAGAGGCAAGCGGUACUCGAUGGGUAGGGGUAAAAUCCGUUGAUCCAUUGAAGACCACCAGUGGCGAAGGCGGCUUGCCAGAACGCGCUCGACGGUGAGGGAUGAAAGCUGGGGGAGCAACCGGG